UAAAAUUAAAUAUGAUAAUUAAUAAAAUUAUUAUUUGUUUACAAAUGAAUGAUUAUUUAAUUAAUUAUUUGUUUAAUAAUUAAUAAAUAAAUAAUUGUUUUUUAGAUUUUAAAAAUGCCACGUAGAGUGAAGAAAUUACCUCUUUAGAGGGCUCCGCCAUCCAAUCCCCAAGAUGCUUUCCGAUUUUAUAUCACGGUUCAUCCUGCACCGACACCUGUACGUCCUGCACCGGCACCUGUUCGUUCAGCACCGGCCAAACCGAGAGUUGUAUAAUAAAUUUUGUAUAAUAUACAUAAGUUAUGAAAUAUAUAAUAUAAAUAUAUAAUAAAAAAAUUUAUAUAAUAUAAGUUUAUAAUAUAAAUAUAAAAUAAUAAAAUAUAGUAAAAAUGUUAAACGAACCGUCGAACCUUAACCAAGGUUUGUGUUUGAUUCGUUUAAUUAAACGAAUCUAUUUCAAUGUUCGGGUUCGGUUCUUUAAUAACCGAACCGAACCCGAAACGAACCGAAUUAUUUGUCGAAUACCGAACUUUUGUUGCAACUAGUUAAAAAAUGUGUUUCACAUUAUUUCAUCAGGCAAAAUGUGUGGACAAGCUUUGAGUGUGAUAUAGAUUAAGCGAGAACACAUAAUAGCAAUACUACACACUAGCACAAUAUGGUCAACAUGUUCAUGACUAAAUACAUGUAACAGAAGAGUAUCAGUACACACUAGCAUAGUGUUGUAAACUUGUUCACUAAUUGAUGCCCUGCCCCGAUUCUUAUCCAAGACCCGGUGACCGGGGCACGGAUCCGAGACGACCCGCCUGGAAUUUAAAAGUAAACCUAAAAUUUAAAAUAGAUAAACCAUUUACCCUAAUUUUUAAAAGUAAAAACAUAAAAUAAAUCUAAAAAGGAUAUAAGGUAAAAGAGCUAAGACUUAAGCUUAAAAUGUAAUAAAUUUGUAAUUUUAAUAAUCCUAUAUCUAAUAUAAUAUGGAGGGAUGCCAUGAGUAUGGGAUGUGAUUCUAUUGAUAUUAUAGACCACAUUUGAAAAACAAAAAUCCCAAAGCUGUAAAGGAAUAUUCGAAUGAUACAAAAGAGUCAAACCAUUUUGGACGAUAUUGCGAAUUUUCCUUUCUGAUGUACCACUCUGUUCCGAUGUGUGAGGACAUGAACGACGAUGUUGUAUCCCGGAAUCCUGAAGAAUAGGAAGUAAGGAUUGAUACUCUCAUCCGAAGUCGGAUUGAAGCAUCUUGAUUUUCCUAGAAAAUUGAUUUUCGACAAAUUUCUGAAAAGUUAUAAAAAUUUGAAGCACACAAGAUUUGGUUCUAAGAUGAUACAACCAGAUAUAUCUAGAAAAUCAUCAAUGAAAACAAUAAAAUAUCGGUGAGCCGAAAUAGAUGAUAUAAUUGCCGGCCCCCACACAUCACUAUGAAUCAAAUCUAAAGGAGCCGAUCAUUUAGAAUUUGUAGAUGGUAGUUGAAGUUUAGAACUUUUACCAACUAAGCAAGCAACACAUUUAUGAAACGAAGAUGAAGUAGCAACAAUAUUUGAGAAAUUAAGAGUUUUCCGAGUAAUUGAUUCACAUGGGUGACCAAGUCGUUGGUGCCAACAGUGUAGUGAUGACCUUUCCAUUAGGUUGACUUGGGGAGCUGUGACUGUAGAUAGUCGAUAGAAGGAUCCAUCAUGUAAACUUAGGAGUAGUGUUUGGUGAUAGCCUGAACCUUAACAACAAAAUGAUAAGGAUAAAACACAAAAUAACACAAAUUAUCAGAUGAGAAUUUAUAGACAGAAAUGAGAGAUUUCGAAAUUGAAGGGGUAUGAAGCAAAUUUUUAAGUUUAAAAAUGGAGAAUGAAUUUUGCAAAAUACCAGAUCCAUAGUGUUGAAUGGGUUGUUUUGACCCAUCACCUAGACGGGAAGAACCGCUACCGCAACUUGGGUCCAUAUGGGUGAAAUCCGACAGUUGGAAGGUGAAGUGGUGGGUAGCGUCGGAAUCGACGACCCCACUGACGGCGCCGACGAUCCUCCAGAGUACGAGCCUGCCUGCGCGACAUAGGCGGAUGGCGCUACUGGUGGCGGUGCUGCUGCGACGGACGGUGCUUGGUUGCGGUGUUGAAAUACCGCCGCCGUCGCCUGAUCCUUGUAGGGGCCGUGCUCUGAACUGUCGCAAAUCGGACAUGGAUCCCUCCGGUAUCCUCCUUUCAUACCCUUCUCAGAUGACAUGUUACCGCCUGUCGUGACAGUUCCAUUCCUGCUGCUUCUAUUCUGUCCGCGAUUUUUAUUCCCGCUGCCUUUGUAUGCGGUGUAUUGGGCCGACGUUGUUAAGAGAUUAGAGGCUGCAAUCUGCCCAAUACGGAUCUCGUGAUUAAUAAGGGUGCUACUAAAAGUGGCAAACGAUGGUGACACUUCCCUUGCGAAGAGGGUAGCAACAACUUCGGAAAAUUCAUUUCCAACAUUGUUGAAGAUUGCGGCAUUGACAGUUCCACUUUCAAGGAUUGUUCCGGCAACGGCGAGUUCAUCGAUGAUUAACCGGACUUGUCGGAGAUAUGCCAAGUCUCCUUGAUCUCCCUUUCGAAAAUUGAAGAGUUGCAUUUGUAAUUGCAACAAUCUUGAUUGAGUAGGAGCCCCAAAAGUCUCACGCAAGGUUUCCCAUAUUUCUAACGACAAUGUGAGACCUACUGUGUAUGGUAGCACUUCUUCAGUUGGACUUGAAAUCAGCCAACUUCGAAGCAGUUGGUCAUUCUUCCACCAGCUCAGAUAUGCUGGAUUGAUUGAAGGUUGGCCUUCCUUCCCGAUUGUUAUUUUCUCCGGCACGAUGCUUGAUUUCUCAACCACACAAUGUAGGUUUGUGUAGUUUAGAAUCGGUUCAAACUAAUUCUUCCAGAGCAUAUAGUUUGAGGGACUUAGCUUGAUGUGCAGCAGAUGUUGAAGCGAUCCCAAGCUCGGAGUGGUUGUUGGCAUGAUGGCAAUCGAUUCCAUGGGUGUGAUGAUUGAUUUCACCAAUGGUGAUGCAAACGCGUUCGGUAGCUCUGAUACCAUGUUCGAUGACUUGGGAGGCACAACUGAGGCCUUGGGAUUUGCAUCGGGAGAUGACAUGAUUUGGGGACGACGGGAGUGAGGGAUUGCAAAUCUGUUUUGGGUUGAUUUAGCCUUGGUAUUUAACUCACCGGAAGGCCUUGUAUUUAUAUGAUUUAAAUAAACAUAAAUGAUAUGACUACCCUUAGAUGUACGCAUAUUUACAUCUAUACCAUCAUGAGUGACUCACUCACUAACUGCCAUAUAAUGAGUCACUAAUAUUAAAACAGUGUGUGUCAUUUCCUUUUACCAUUUUAUUUCUUCUUCCUUUGUCCAUGACUUUCAACCUCUCCGGUGUAUCCUACGAUCUUAGCUCCACCACCAAAUCCGCCAAGAAAUUACCUAAAUCUAAUACUCAUCGGACUCGCACGGAGGCUGUAGCAAUACAAAGGUGGAUGGUGAACAUAUAAUUUUUUUAAAAUUUUAGUAUUAGUUUCCACUUUAAUUUUUCGUAAUUAAUGAAUCAUCUGAUCUUCAUCAAACAAACAAUCUUUAACAUUUUUUAAUAAAUCAAUUCUUACUUUAAUUAUUAUUUAAACGUUAAUUUUGGAAAUUGUGAAAAGCAGAAACUUUUGCACUUUCUAAAGAAGUAAUUAGCAUUAAUUAAGACUAACUGGACUAACGUAUAAUUAGAGAAAACACAGGUAUGCAGGUUUGUCAAGAAGGAAAUGGAAUGCAGGGACAAAGCUGCAAAUAUUUCAAUAAAUAUCCAGAUAGGCCAAAGAAAUAAAAGAAAGCAAUUGGGCCCGUAUUUCAAUUAGUCCAUUAAAGAUAGUUAGUUGUUAGUUAGUGUUAGUUGGUCAUUUGGUUCAAUAAGUUUAGUAUUAAUACAAAUCAGUUUAAUUAACAUUCAAUUAAUUCUAUCUGAUUUCAUUUUCUCCUAAUACAAUAGUUACUACUAAUCAUCUACAGUAGUAACCAACGGUUAGAAAUUAAGUAAUACUAAGAGUAAUACAAUAAGUAAAGUUUUAUUUGAUCUAAUACACAUAGACAUUUGGGGCAAGUUCCCAAUUGACACUCAUGAUGGCUUUAAAUAUUUUCUAACUAUAGUAGAAGAUUUAGGUAGAACAAUUUCGAUCUAUCUAAUCAAAGAUAAAUCUUUUGCUUAUGAAUGCAUAAAGAAAUUCAUCAUAAAAGUUAGAAACUAUUUUUGCACAAAUAUUAAAGCAAUAAGGAGUGACAAUGGUGGAGAAUUUAAAUCCAAUAAUUUCAAAAAUAUGUUUGAAGAUUUUGGAAUUAUACACCAACUCACAUGCCCUUACAACCCUCAACAAAAUGCAAAGGUUGAAAGAAAACAUAGAUGUCUAUUAAACAUAGCUAGAUCUCUACAUAUACAAGCUAACAUACCCGUAAAAUAUUGGGGAGAAUGUAUCAUGGCUGCAACCUACAUAAUAAAUAGAAUCCAAUCUAAAACUUAGAUAAUAAAACCUCAUUUGAAAUUCUACACAAAGAAAAACCAAAAUAUAAUUUCUUAAGAACAUUUGGGUGUAUGUGUUAUGCAACAAUACACAACAAAGAACAUAAGUUCUCUCCAAGGACUUUUAGGGGAGUAUUUAUGGGAUAUCCUCCUAAUAUAAAAGGAUAUCUAAUAACUGAACUUCCCAAAGGAAGGAAGGUAGUAGGAUCCAAGUGGAUAUACAAAAUCAAAUACAAACCAAAUGGAGAGAUUGAGAGAUAUAAAGCAAGGCUAGUAGCCAAAGGCUUCUCUCAAACGGAAUGUUUGGAUUUUUAUGAAACUUUUGCACCUGUUGCAAAAAUGACAACAGUAAGGAUAUUAAUUGCUUUUGCAGCACAAAAGAGAUGGAACCUAUACCAAAUUAAUGUCAAUAAUAUCUUCCUUCAUGGUGAUCUUCAUGAGGAAGUAUACGUAAAGCCACUCCAAGGCCUUCUCAUAGAAUGAGACAAGAGAGUAUGCAAACUUAACAAAUCUUUAUAUGGCCUUAAAUAUGCGUCUAGAAAUUGGUUUGAAAAAUUAAGAAACACACUACUAGAUUUUGGCUUCAUACAAACCAUAUUAGAUUACUUUCUAUUUAUAAUAGAGAGAAAUAAAAACAUAAUAUACCUAAUUGUCUAUUUGGAUAAUAUUAUCAUUACAGGUAGCAAUGAGAUAGAAAUAAGCAUCCUUAAAAUACAAUUAGAAAAUAAGUUUAAAUUGAAAGACCUUGGGAAACUAAACUAUUUUUUAGGAAUAGAAGUAUCAUAUUCUAGUGAAGGAAUCCUAUUAUCUCAAAGGAAAUAUGCACUAGAAAUACUUGAAGAAAGAGGCAUAUCAGGAGCAAAAGAACCCAAAAUAACAAUGGAAAGAAAUAUAGACCUUAAGAGUGAAUCCAAAUAAAUUGGAAACCCAACUUUCUAUAGAAAACUAGUUGGCAAACUAAUAUAUCUCAAUAUCACCAGGCCUGACCUGAGUUAUGCAGUUCACUGGCUCAGCCAGUUCAUGAGUGAAACAAAGGAGGUUCAUCUGAAAGCAUUAUUUAAAAUACUAAGCUAUCUAACGAGUGCACCAGGACAAGGCAUUUUAUAUAAAAAUAGUGAAGAUCUAAGCAUUCAUGCCUUUGUGACUCUGAUUGGACAGGAUGCCAAAUCAGCAGGAAGUCAGUAACUGGCUUCUGCAUUUCAAUUGGAUAUUCAGUCAUAUCCUGGAAAUCCAUGAAGCAAUCAAUAAUAUCAAGAUCCUCAUGUGAGGCUGAAUACAGGGAAAUAGCUCAAACAACCUGUGAGGUAAUAUGGAUUCAUCAGUUAAUCAAAGAAAUGAAAAUCAAAACUAAUAAUCAAAAAACAAUAUACUAUGAUAAUAAAUCAAUAAUCAAUCUAGCUAAUAACCCUAUGUUUCAUGAAAGAAAAAAAUACAUAGAGAUGGAUUACCAUUUUAUUAGAGAACUAAUCUCCCAUGGAGUGUUUUGUCUUAAGAAAAUUGGAACAAAGUACCAAUUGGCAAACAUGUUUACUAAACCUAUGAGAGAAAAUGAGAUUACUUCAACCUAUGUCAAGCUUGAAAUCAUAAAUAUUUAUUCCAGAGCUUGAGGGGUGAGUAAAUAAGUAAUUAACACUAAUUAAGACUAACUGGACUAAUGUGUAAUUAGAGAAAACAUAGGUAUGCAGGUUUGUCAAGAAGGAAAUGGAAUAAAGGGACAAUGCCGGAAAUAUUUCAAUAAAUAUCCAGAUGGGCCAAAGAAAUAAAAGAAAGCAAUUGGGCCCGUAUUUGAAUUAGUCCAUUAAAGAUAGUUAGUUGUUAGUUAUUGUUAGUUGGUCAUUUGGUUCAAUAACUUUAGUAUUAAUACAAAUCAGUUUAAUUAACCUUCAAUUAAUUCAAUCUGAUUUCAUUUUCUCCUAAUACAAUAGUUACUACUAAUCGUCUAUAGUAGUAAUCAACGGUUAGAAAUUAGGUAACACGAGUAAACCUAAUUUUUCCCCCUUCUCUCCGAUUUCUCGACGUCUGGCGAGCAUCUACUGCCGGCUCCGGUGCAGCUCUUUCUCAUAGCUAAAGAAGGAAGUUCAAUCCCGCAUUUUAACACUUUCCAACAAAAAGGAUUUUCUUUCUUUCAAAUCGUUGCAGAUCAUAUUUGUCUUCCUUCC
Molecule: long non-coding RNA, 6627 nt
Filed under: Zostera marina
Lineage: Eukaryota; Viridiplantae; Streptophyta; Magnoliopsida; Alismatales; Zosteraceae
Description: long non-coding RNA (ZMAR_LNC000569)
Source: RNAcentral